UGGGGAAUAUUUGACAAUGUGCGCAAGCCUGAUCCAGCCAUGCCCCGUGUGUGAUGAAGGCCCUUGGGUUGUAAAGCUCUUUCACCGGGGAAGAUAAUUACCGUAACCGGAGAAGAAGCCCCGGCUAACUUCGUUCCAGCAGCCGCGGUAAUACGAAGGGGGCUCGCGUUUUUUGGAUUUACUGGGCGUAAAGCGCACGUAGGCGGACUUUUAAGUGAGGGGUGAAAUCCCGGGGCUCAACCCCGGAACGACCUGUGAUACUGGAAGUCUUGAGUAUGGUAGGGGUGAGUGGAAUUCCGAGUGUAGAGGUGAAAUUCGUAGAUAUUGGGAGGAACACCAGUGGCAAAGGCGGCUCACUGGACCAUUACUGACGCUGGGGUGAGAAAGCGUGGGGAGCAAACAGG
RNAcentral lists this ribosomal RNA (404 nucleotides) under Actinomycetes bacterium. Its description in RNAcentral is "Actinobacteria bacterium partial 16S ribosomal RNA". It matches the Rfam family "Bacterial small subunit ribosomal RNA", at positions 355 to 776 of the family's 1533-position model. Lineage: Bacteria; Bacillati; Actinomycetota; Actinomycetes. The record is from RNAcentral.